RNAcentral lists this unclassified non-coding RNA (328 nucleotides) under Hevea brasiliensis (rubber tree). The record is from RNAcentral. Lineage: Eukaryota; Viridiplantae; Streptophyta; Magnoliopsida; Malpighiales; Euphorbiaceae.
GAUGUUAUCGAGGUACUAAGGGCAUUAGCUGUGGUAGCCAUAAGAUUAAGAAAAAAAAAAAAAGCGUUUCUGGUGAGUCUGACAAGCUGCUGUGAAUGAUCAAAGGGGGCAAAACAGGAACAAAAAUGAUAAAAAAAAAAAAAAAAAGGGAGAGAAUUAAAGAAUGAUAGAAGCAACCAAAUUAGGGUUUUUGAUUUGGGUAAUGUAAGGGUAAUUUCCAAGAAAAUCGAGGGGGUUGAUAUGAUUCUGAUGCGAUCCGCCUUCGGAGAGAUCGAGCAAUGGCGCUUCUGGUCCUUGACUCUUUUCUUCUCUCUCUCGAUACUCGUUG